UCCGGCUUAUCACCGGCGGUUUCUUUAGAGUGCCCAACUAAAUGAUGGCAACUAAAGACGAGGGUUGCGCUCGUUGCGGGACUUAACCCAACAUCUCACGACGCGAGCUGACGACAGCCAUGCGGCACCUGUCCACGGGUCCCGAAGGAGGCCCCCUGUUUCCAGAGGGUUUCCCGUGCAUGUCAAACCUGGGUAAGGUUCUUCGCGUUGCUUCGAAUUAAACCACAUGCUCCACCGCUUGUGCGGGCCCCCGUCAAUUCCUUUGAGUUUCAACCUUGCGGUCGUACUUCCCAGGUGGGAUACUUAAUGCUUUCGCUCAGACGCACACUGUGUAUCGCGUAUGUCGAGUAUCCAUCGUUUAGGGCGUGGACUAC
RNAcentral lists this unclassified non-coding RNA (374 nucleotides) under uncultured bacterium. RNAcentral describes it as "contains 16S-23S intergenic spacer region". The record is from RNAcentral.